GUAUGAUUAGGUUUAUGUUUUGUAGUUAUCCCAUUGAUGCAUGCACUCAAGUCCCAAUACACUGUCCGAUUGAGCCAGCAUGUAAUGAACAUUUGGAGGAAAUUGUUGUCGGUGCCGUAUCCUCAAAUUUACCAACAUAUGUGUCAGGUCAUAAGGAUAUUUCUGAGAAUGACUCCACAUAAAGUAGCUUCACUGCGUAUGUUUUGAUUGUACCUAGUCUUUGCAUUAAUGUCGACCAGUUGGCGAAGCAUUAUAGUGUUGAUGUAUUUCUUGAGUGAUUGAGCUUUCAUCUUUAAUUUGAGUUAUUGCCUGAAAUGUUAAAUUUUGCUGCAGAGGUAGUACAUACCCGUAAUCUGAAUAGGUGUGCAAACUGUACCUGUUGUAGGCCAAGAAGCUGAAGAGGACUGCUAUGAAGGAAUUAGGUUUGAUGGUGCAGGGUAAGUUCUCUGAUGUGAAAGUUAAUAUGGGGAUGUUCAUGUUCAUGUUCAUGUUAUUAUUUGUGUUGAGCUGUAGGGUUUGAUCAGAUUAUGUUCAAUUUUAUUUGUGCAUACUGGGGCAGGGUUGAUGCAAAUUAUUGCACACCUACUAUGUGUGGAAAUAAUGGUCCAACUACAAAUGUUGCUUCUUCCUUUGUGCCAGAAGUUGGAGAUGAGGUGGAUUUCAUAAACAUACAGUCAGGCCAUUGGAAGAAGAGGAACCACACAAAUGCUAGUCCUGAUCAUAGGCCUCCAGAUCCAAGUCAUCAGAGUGCACAGUAGAAAGCUCUGAUGAAGUUUACUGACUGCACUACUAAUUAGAUUCUGCAAUCAGAACAGAAUUUGAUUCUAUUGAUGAAGGCUAUGAGUUACAACCUAUACUCUUGGGAGGUAGGGUUUGGUAUUUUCAGUGGCAAGAAGAGAUACUCAGAAAGCAAAAAGGGCUGGAAAAAGGAAGGAUCUGAACCUUAUCAGUUGGCACACGAGUUUUAUUGUUGCUGCAGGGGGCGUGUGUAGUCUUUGUGCUAGAAAAUAAAUCGUGAAUAGGCUGAGAGUGAUAUCAAGAAGACACUAAUGCUUUUCCAUGAACUACGAGAAGCUGACCCAGUAUUUGUCUAUAGCGUGGAGCCUCAUUUUGGACAUGUUAUAACAUUUGAUACCACCUACAAGACCAACCUUGGCUAUUCAAUGAAUUUGUGUCACUGAUGGGUGGGAAGCGGCCAUAGACAAUUCUGACCGUGUCGUGCAAUAGAGAUUGCAAUCCUUGAGGAGAGGCCUGGCAAUAAACAUCGAUGGUGCAAGUGGCAUGUUCUGCGUAUACUUAAAGUGUGUGUGGUUGCUAAGUACAUAAAGAAUAAAGAGUUCAAGGACAAAUUCCACAAAAAUGUUGAAUGAGAUGUUUGACUGUUGAGGAAUUUGAAUUUGCAUGGGGUUUGUUAGAACAUGGUCUCGAGAAGAAUCCCUUCUUAAAUCAAAUUUAUCAUGUU
This is a long non-coding RNA of Phragmites australis (common reed), 1462 nucleotides long. RefSeq lists it as uncharacterized. The transcript has 5 exons. The record is from RefSeq and is a predicted model, not a curated record. Lineage: Eukaryota; Viridiplantae; Streptophyta; Magnoliopsida; Poales; Poaceae.